This 301-nucleotide ribosomal RNA is filed under the name uncultured bacterium. RNAcentral describes it as "partial 16S ribosomal RNA". It matches the Rfam family "Archaeal small subunit ribosomal RNA", at positions 459 to 760 of the family's 1478-position model. The record is from RNAcentral.
CAGUCGCCACGGGAACACCAGCACCUCGAGUGGUCAGGAGGUUUAUUGGGCCUAAAGCAUCCGUAGCCGGUUGCAUAAGUUUUCGGUUAAAUCUAUGCGCUUAACGUAUAGGCCGCCGAAAAUACUGUGCAGCUAGGGAGUGGGAGAGGUACACGGUACUCGAUAGGAAGGGGUAAAAUCCUUUGAUCUAUUGAUGACCACCUGUGGCGAAGGCGGUGUACCAGAACACGUUCGACGGUGAGGGAUGAAAGCUGGGGGAGCAAACCGGAUUAGAUACCCUUGUAGUCCCUGUCUCUUAUAC